UGGAUUAGGCAUGCAAGUCGAGCGAUCCCGCAAGGAAUAGCGGCAAACGGGUUAGUAACACGUGAGUAAUUUUCCCCGAAGACAGGCAAAGCAUCCUGAAAAGGGUGGUAAUUCCUGAUAACACAUUGAGGACUCAUGUUCUUAAUGUUAAAGACCGGGACCGCAAGGCCGGUUGCUUUGGGAUGAGCUCGCGUCCUAUCAGCUAGUUGGUGAGGUAACGGCCCACCAAGGCUUUUGACGGGUAGCUGGUCUGAGAGGACGACCAGCAACACUGGGACUGAGACACUGCCCAGACUCCUACGGGAGGCUGCAGUCGAGAAUCUUUAGCAAUGGACGAAAGUCUGUCUAUGCGGCGCCGCGUGCAGGAUGAAGCUUUUCGGAUCGUAAGCUCC
RNAcentral lists this ribosomal RNA (392 nucleotides) under uncultured organism. RNAcentral describes it as "bacterial SSU rRNA". It matches the Rfam family "Bacterial small subunit ribosomal RNA", at positions 45 to 433 of the family's 1533-position model. The record is from RNAcentral.